GACGAACGCUGGCGGCGUGCUUAACACAUGCAAGUCGAACGGAAAGGCCUCUUUCGGGGGGUACUCGAGUGGCGAACGGGUGAGUAACACGUGAGUAACCUGCCCUUGACUUUGGGAUAACUUCAGGAAACUGGGGCUAAUACCGGAUAGGAGCUCCUGCUGCAUGGUGGGGGUUGGAAAGUUUCGGCGGUUGGGGAUGGACUCGCGGCUUAUCAGCUUGUUGGUGGGGUAGUGGCUUACCAAGGCUUUGACGGGUAGCCGGCCUGAGAGGGUGACCGGCCACUGGGGAAGUGAGACACGCCCGAGCCCCCUCGGGGGGGCAGGGGGGGGGAAUUUGGCAAAAGGGGUGGAGCCGUGAUGCAGCACCCCGGUGGGGGGAAUACCGUCUUUGGGUUUGAACCCCGUUUCCUCCAAUACCGAAGUUUUGGGUAGGGGAGGGGGUAAAAGAAGAACGGCUAACCACCG
This 465-nucleotide ribosomal RNA is filed under the name uncultured bacterium. RNAcentral's name for it is "partial 16S ribosomal RNA". It matches the Rfam family "Bacterial small subunit ribosomal RNA", at positions 28 to 506 of the family's 1533-position model. The record is from RNAcentral.